RNAcentral lists this non-coding RNA (30 nucleotides) under Mus musculus (house mouse). The record is from RNAcentral. Lineage: Eukaryota; Metazoa; Chordata; Mammalia; Rodentia; Muridae.
UCUAUUCUAAGUCUACUGGGUUUCCUCCUA